UGGUCCGAGUGCAGCGGUGUCUACAACUAAUUGAUCACAACCAGUUACAGAUUCCUUUGUUCCUGCUCCACUCCGACUGCUUCACUUGACCA
RNAcentral lists this Y RNA (92 nucleotides) under Propithecus coquereli (Coquerel's sifaka). RNAcentral's name for it is "Y RNA (ENSPCOG00000003392.1)". It matches the Rfam family "Y RNA", at positions 4 to 89 of the family's 96-position model. Rfam says of the family: Y RNAs are components of the Ro ribonucleoprotein particle (Ro RNP), in association with Ro60 and La proteins. The Y RNAs and Ro60 and La proteins are well conserved, but the function of the Ro RNP is not known. In humans the RNA component can be one of four small RNAs -- hY1, hY3, hY4 and hY5. The record is from RNAcentral. Lineage: Eukaryota; Metazoa; Chordata; Mammalia; Primates; Indriidae.